This 195-nucleotide ribosomal RNA is filed under the name uncultured bacterium. RNAcentral's name for it is "partial 16S ribosomal RNA". It matches the Rfam family "Bacterial small subunit ribosomal RNA", at positions 28 to 226 of the family's 1533-position model. The record is from RNAcentral.
GAUGAACGCUGACAGAAUGCUUAACACAUGCAAGUCGAUUCGAUUUACCUUCGGGUAUUGAGGAUGGCGGACGGGUGAGUAACGCGUAAGGAACUUGCCUCUUGGACUGGGACAACUGUUGGAAACGACAGCUAAUACCGGAUAUUAUGAGAUUCUCGCAUGAGAAACUUAUGAAAGCUAUAUGCGCCAAGAGAG